This is a small nucleolar RNA of Otolemur garnettii (small-eared galago), 99 nucleotides long. NCBI's taxonomy places the organism in Eukaryota, Metazoa, Chordata, Mammalia, Primates, Galagidae. The record is from Ensembl.
AUCUUUUUAUGGUUCCUAAGUGAGAUGAUGGGAUUUCCAGGCUCAUAUGUGAGAUACUCCUUUAGACCAUCCAUGACAUGGGUACGUUACUGUGUGAAG